UACGUAGGGUGCAAGCGUUAAUCGGAAUUACUGGGCGUAAAGCGUGCGCAGGCGGUUUUGUAAGUCAGAUGUGAAAUCCCCGGGCUUAACCUGGGAACUGCGUUUGAAACUACAAGGCUAGAGUGUGACAGAGGGGGGUGGAAUUCCACGUGUAGCAGUGAAAUGCGUAGAGAUGUGGAGGAACACCGAUGGCGAAGGCAGCCCCCUGGGUUAACACUGACGCUGAGGAGCGAAAGCGUGGGGAGCGAACAGG
RNAcentral lists this ribosomal RNA (253 nucleotides) under uncultured bacterium. RNAcentral's name for it is "partial 16S ribosomal RNA". It matches the Rfam family "Bacterial small subunit ribosomal RNA", at positions 524 to 776 of the family's 1533-position model. The record is from RNAcentral.